AGAGUUUGAUCCUGGCUCAGAAUCAACGCUGGCGGCGUGCCUAACACAUGCAAGUCGAACGCGGUUAUCCCGCAAGGGAUAACUGAGUGGCGAACGGGUGAGUAACACGUGGGUGACCUACCUUCGAGUGGGGGAUAACGUCCCGAAAGGGACGCUAAUACCGCAUAACAUCCUGCUCUUGAACGAGCGGAGAUCGAAGCCGGGGAUCGCAAGACCUGGCGCUUGUUGAGGGGCCCGCGUCUGAUUAGCUAGUUGGUGAGGUAACGGCUCACCAAGGCGACGAUCAGUAUCCGGCCUGAGAGGGCGGACGGACACACUGGGACUGAGACACGGCCCAGACUCCUACGGGAGGCAGCAGUGGGGAAUUGUUCGCAAUGGGCGCAAGCCUGACGACGCAACGCCGCGUGGAGGAUGAAGGUCUUCGGAUCGUAAACUCCUGUUGCCCGGGACGAAUAGCUUCGACCUAACACGUCGGAGUAUGACGGUACCGGGGAGAGCC
This 499-nucleotide ribosomal RNA is filed under the name uncultured Acidobacteriaceae bacterium. RNAcentral describes it as "bacterial SSU rRNA". It matches the Rfam family "Bacterial small subunit ribosomal RNA", at positions 8 to 492 of the family's 1533-position model. Lineage: Bacteria; Pseudomonadati; Acidobacteriota; Terriglobia; Terriglobales; Acidobacteriaceae. The record is from RNAcentral.